Molecule: ribosomal RNA, 347 nt
Filed under: Pergagrapta sp. SS1
Lineage: Eukaryota; Metazoa; Arthropoda; Insecta; Hymenoptera; Pergidae
Description: partial 16S ribosomal RNA
Source: RNAcentral
AUAAUAAUUAGUCUUUUAAUUGAAGGCUGGUAUGAAGGAUUGAACGAGAUAAAUACUGUCUCAUAAAAAUUAAAGUUUAAUUUAAUUUUUAAGUAAAAAAGCUUAAAUAUUAUUAUAGGACGAGAAGACCCCAUAGAGUUUUAUAUUUUAUUUUUAUUUUUUAUAAAAUUGAAUUAAAUUUGAAUUAAAUAUUUUAUUGGGGCGAUAGAAAAAUUUAAUAAACUUUUUUAUUUAAUUAAACAAAGAUUAUUGAAAUUUUGAUCCUAAAUUUUAGAUUAUUAGAUUAAGUUACCUUGGGGAUAACAGCGUUAUUUUUUUUAUAAGUUCAUAUUAAUAGAAAAGAUUGC